UACGGGGGGGGCGAUCGUUAUUAGGAAUUACUGGGCGUAAAGCGCACGUAGGCGGCGACGUAAGUCUUGUGUGAAAUCCAACGGCUCAACCGUUGAAUGGCAUUUGAAACUGCGUUGCUUGAGUCCGGGAGAGGAUGGUGGAAUUCCCAGUGUAGCGGUGAAAUGCGUAGAUAUUGGGAGGAACACCGGUGGCGAAGGCGGCCAUCUGGACCGGCACUGACGCUGAGGUGAGAAAGCUAGGGUAGCAAACGGG
Molecule: ribosomal RNA, 253 nt
Filed under: uncultured bacterium
Lineage: Bacteria
Description: partial 16S ribosomal RNA
Rfam family: Bacterial small subunit ribosomal RNA
Source: RNAcentral